This 1017-nucleotide ribosomal RNA is filed under the name uncultured bacterium. RNAcentral describes it as "bacterial SSU rRNA". It matches the Rfam family "Bacterial small subunit ribosomal RNA", at positions 355 to 1375 of the family's 1533-position model. The record is from RNAcentral.
UGAGGAAUAUUGGUCAAUGGACGAGAGUCUGAACCAGCCAAGUAGCGUGAAGGAUGAAGGUUCUAUGGAUUGUAAACUUCUUUUAUACGGGAAUAAACGGAUCCACGUGUGGAUCUUUGCAUGUACCGUAUGAAUAAGGAUCGGCUAACUCCGUGCCAGCAGCCGCGGUAAUACGGAGGAUCCGAGCGUUAUCCGGAUUUAUUGGGUUUAAAGGGAGCGUAGAUGGGUUGUUAAGUCAGUUGUGAAAGUUUGCGGCUCAACCGUAAAAUUGCAGUUGAUACUGGUUCCCUUGAGUGCAGUUGAGGCAGGCGGAAUUCGUGGUGUAGCGGUGAAAUGCAUAGAUAUCACGAAGAACCCCGAUUGCGAAGGCAGCCUGCUAAGCUGUAACUGACGUUGAGGCUCGAAAGUGUGGGUAUCAAACAGGAUUAGAUACCCUGGUAGUCCACACGGUAAACGAUGGAUACUCGCUGUUGGCGAUAUACUGUCAGCGGCCAAGCGAAAGCAUUAAGUAUCCCACCUGGGGAGUACGCCGGCAACGGUGAAACUCAAAGGAAUUGACGGGGGCCCGCACAAGCGGAGGAACAUGUGGUUUAAUUCGAUGAUACGCGAGGAACCUUACCCGGGCUUAAAUUGCAGACGAAUUACCUGGAAACAGGUAAGCCGCAAGGCGUCUGUGAAGGUGCUGCAUGGUUGUCGUCAGCUCGUGCCGUGAGGUGUCGGCUUAAGUGCCAUAACGAGCGCAACCCUCGUGGCCAGUUACUAGCAGGUAACGCUGAGGACUCUGGCCAGACUGCCAUCGUAAGAUGCGAGGAAGGUGGGGAUGACGUCAAAUCAGCACGGCCCUUACGUCCGGGGCUACACACGUGUUACAAUGGGAGGUACAGAAGGCAGCUACCCGGCGACGGGAUGCCAAUCUCCAAAGCCUCUCUCAGUUCGGACUGGAGUCUGCAACCCGACUCCACGAAGCUGGAUUCGCUAGUAAUCGCGCAUCAGCCACGGCGCGGUGAAUACGUUCCC